GGGCGAAAGCCUGACGGAGCAACGCCGCGUGAGGGAUGAAGGCCUCUGGGCUGUAAACCUCUUUUCUCAAGGAAGAAGAUCUGACGGUACUUGAGGAAUAAGCCACGGCUAAUUCCGUGCCAGCAGCCGCGGUAAUACGGGAGUGGCAAGCGUUAUCCGGAAUUAUUGGGCGUAAAGCGUCCGCAGGCGGCCUUGUAAGUCUGUCGUUAAAGCGUGGAGCUUAACUCCAUUUCAGCGAUGGAAACUACAAGGCUUGAGUGUGGUAGGGGCAGAGGGAAUUCCCGGUGUAGCGGUGAAAUGCGUAGAUAUCGGGAAGAACACCAGUGGCGAAGGCGCUNUGCUGGGCCAUAACUGACGCUCAUGGACGAAAGCCAGGGGAGCGAAAGGGAUUAGAUACCCCUGUAGUCCUGGCCGUAAACGAUGAACACUAGGNGUCGGGGGAAUCGACCCCCUCGGUGUCG
RNAcentral lists this ribosomal RNA (461 nucleotides) under uncultured bacterium. Its description in RNAcentral is "bacterial SSU rRNA". It matches the Rfam family "Bacterial small subunit ribosomal RNA", at positions 373 to 848 of the family's 1533-position model. The record is from RNAcentral.